This 468-nucleotide ribosomal RNA is filed under the name uncultured bacterium. Its description in RNAcentral is "partial 16S ribosomal RNA". It matches the Rfam family "Bacterial small subunit ribosomal RNA", at positions 28 to 507 of the family's 1533-position model. The record is from RNAcentral.
GACGAACGCUGGCGGCGUGCUUAACACAUGCAAGUCGAACGGAAAGGCCCUGCUUUUGUGGGGUGCUCGAGUGGCGAACGGGUGUGUAACACGUGAGUAACCUGCCCUUGACUUUGGGAUAACUUCAGGAAACUGGGGCUCAUACCGGAUAGGAGCUCCUUCUGCAUGGUGGGGGUUAGAAAGAUUCGGCGGUUGGGGAUGGACUCGCGGCUUAUCAGCUUGUUGGUGGGGUAGUGGCUUACCAAGGCUUUGACGGGUAGCCGGCCUGAGAGGGUGACCGGCCACAUUGGGACUGAGAUACGGCCCAGACUCCUACGGGAGGCAGCAGUGGGGGAUAUUGCACAAUGGGCGGAAGCCUGAUGCAGCAACGCCGCGUGCGGGAUGACGGCCUUCGGGUUGUAACCCGCUUUCGCCUGUGACGAAGCGUGAGUGACGGUAAUGGGUAAAGAAGCACCGGCUAACUACGUG